AUAAAAUUUUUUCGAAAGAAAAAAAAAAAAUCUGUUAUCAGUUUAAUAUCUGAUACGUCCCCUUACCAUAUAUUAAAUUGAUUUUUGGAGCAGGGAGAUGGAAUAGGGGCUUGCUCCGUCCACUCCACGCAUCGACCUGGUAUUGCAGUACCUCCAGGACCGGUGCACCCCCU
This is a small nuclear RNA of Xiphophorus maculatus (southern platyfish), 173 nucleotides long. Its record names the gene U2. It matches the Rfam family "U2 spliceosomal RNA". Rfam says of the family: U2 is a small nuclear RNA (snRNA) component of the spliceosome (involved in pre-mRNA splicing). The record is from Ensembl. Lineage: Eukaryota; Metazoa; Chordata; Actinopteri; Cyprinodontiformes; Poeciliidae.